AAACCUUGUUGGCCACUCAUUUGUAAACUCUUUCUUUCUCUCUAUCGGAGUUCUGUUAACUUGUUCAUAUUUCUUCCCUUUAAUAUUCUGUAUGCAUUUGGAUUUGCUUGCAUGUAAAGUGAUACUACAAUUAUCUUUGGCAUGGACCAUUUGUUUUUGAUGCUUUAUUGCUUAUUUCUUGCCUUAUUGGGAGAAAUUCCAGAGGAGUUAAGUGAAACUUUUUUUCCCCUUGUGAGAUGUAUCAUUUCCAAUCUUUGAUCCAUAAUUCAUCAUAUUGGAAACCAUGCUUGCCCAUGGACCUCGGGCUGUUGAAUGCAAUUUGUUGCAAAUUGCAAGUUAUAUGAUAUUGCUUACGGCUAGGUUUGAUAUGGAUCUAGAUGCUCGGUAGUUUCAGUUGCAUAUUCAGUGAAUGUAAAUAUCAGUUUACUUGGAUUUUAUUCAUUAAUAUGAUUGGUUCACAUAAUGUUAUAUGAAAAUGUCAACUUUUAUUUAUAUAUUUAUUUAUUGUAUGGAAAAGACACUUAUUUCAUUUUAAAAUAACUGAGACAGCAUCUAUACUGAAGAAAAAAAAGAAUGA
RNAcentral lists this unclassified non-coding RNA (577 nucleotides) under Hevea brasiliensis (rubber tree). Lineage: Eukaryota; Viridiplantae; Streptophyta; Magnoliopsida; Malpighiales; Euphorbiaceae. The record is from RNAcentral.